RNAcentral lists this ribosomal RNA (465 nucleotides) under Vreelandella stevensii. RNAcentral describes it as "partial 16S ribosomal RNA". It matches the Rfam family "Bacterial small subunit ribosomal RNA", at positions 338 to 795 of the family's 1533-position model. Lineage: Bacteria; Pseudomonadati; Pseudomonadota; Gammaproteobacteria; Oceanospirillales; Halomonadaceae. The record is from RNAcentral.
CCUACGGGUGGCUGCAGUGGGGAAUAUUGGACAAUGGGGGGAACCCUGAUCCAGCCAUGCCGCGUGUGUGAAGAAGGCCCUCGGGUUGUAAAGCACUUUCAGUGAGGAAGAACGCCUGGUGGUUAAUACCCAUCAGGAAAGACAUCACUCACAGAAGAAGCACCGGCUAACUCCGUGCCAGCAGCCGCGGUAAUACGGAGGGUGCGAGCGUUAAUCGGAAUUACUGGGCGUAAAGCGCGCGUAGGUGGCUUGAUAAGCCGGUUGUGAAAGCCCCGGGCUCAACCUGGGAACGGCAUCCGGAACUGUCAAGCUAGAGUGCAGGAGAGGAAGGUAGAAUUCCCGGUGUAGCGGUGAAAUGCGUAGAGAUCGGGAGGAAUACCAGUGGCGAAGGCGGCCAUCUGGACUGACACUGACACUGAGGUGCGAAAGCGUGGGUAGCAAACAGGAUUAGAUACCCCAGUAGUC